UGCAGCCGGGCGCGGCGCCGAGACCCUGUCCGGAGCCUCGCGCCACCGAGUCGUCCUGGCCGAGGCGCGGGGGCGCUUUCCGGAGCAGGGGCUCUCGCCAAAGGCCGGGCGCAGAGGGGGUGCGUGCGCCCGCACACAAAGGUCCGUCCUAGACUUCACAGCUCCCUGCCCGCUCUCCCUUCCCGGCUGCCCGAGGGGGAGCAGCCGCUCGGGGUCGGCCCAGGCGACCGCGCCGGGGGUCAGGCCGGCCGCCCCGAGUGGCCCCAGGGCCUUGCGAGGGCGCAGGGGGGCGCUGGGCCCUCACCCGGCUCGGCUGGACCCCCGCGGUGGCGCCCGGGACUGCGACUCUGCGGGUUCCUUUUGUGAACGGAGGGAAGGGCCCUCCCCCCGUCUGAAAAUGGUCAGCCCGGGUUCUCGGGACUGCGCGCCCUGAAUAACAGAUUGGGUGCUGUAGGGUCGUCAUCUGGGCCCCACCCUGCGGAGCUCUGAGCUGGUUUAGCUUCUCCUGCAGACGGGUCUGUUGGGGGUUCCCAAAAGCAUCACCGUGACCGGCUGCAUCAGGACCAGGGGCCCACCCCAUCACCUGAAACGGAAUCUCUGGGAGGGGCCCAGGAGUCUGUAUUUUUGGGACCUGGGCAUGUGCAAGUGGCCUUGUAAAUUCGUUCCUGAUGGAGAGGAGCUGGAAGACUCCACCAAGGACAAGCUGCUUUGAGGAUUUAGUAAGAGAUCUUCUGGAGAAGAUUUCGUAGCUCUAGGCCUGGGAAUAAACACUCGAUUGGGUAGACCAGGGAUAUGCUCUUCAUAGACCAGGCCCUGCAGACAUUGCUGAAUGCCUCUCUGAGGACCUGCUUGGGCUCCAGCCAUGACUGGAGUGCCUGCCGUUUCCAGGAGUCCGACUAGGUGCACCCAAAUGUUGUGGGUGCAGUGAGAUGAAACCAGAAAAAACAUCUCUCUGCCCUAAGACUAUGUCUUUGGUCUAGACUUCCGCAUGUGCUUGACCAACAGUUUCGUCCGUUCUGACAGCCAUAGACUUUUGUUUUCCUCUGGUUAAAAAAGUAGUCGAUGUCCAUUGUAGGAAAUUUGGAAGACACAGAAGAGUAUGAAGAAGAAAUAAAAAUCACCCAAUAUCCAAAACUCAGAAGACCAUUGCUACUGUUCUGGAAUUCAGAGGAGAGGACAACGUGGUUAGCGGAGCAGCGUGGCUUAGGCCUUGGGAUGAAUGCUCAAGAUUGAAAGAGGAGGUAUCCGCCAACCAGGGUUUUGAAA
Molecule: long non-coding RNA, 1266 nt
Organism: Balaenoptera ricei (Rice's whale)
Lineage: Eukaryota; Metazoa; Chordata; Mammalia; Artiodactyla; Balaenopteridae
Exons: 4
Source: RefSeq, a predicted model, not a curated record